RNAcentral lists this ribosomal RNA (253 nucleotides) under uncultured bacterium. Its description in RNAcentral is "partial 16S ribosomal RNA". It matches the Rfam family "Bacterial small subunit ribosomal RNA", at positions 524 to 776 of the family's 1533-position model. The record is from RNAcentral.
UACGUAGGUGGCAAGCGUUGUCCGGAUUUACUGGGCGUAAAGGGCGCGUAGGCGGCCUGUUAAGUCGAACGUGAAAUCCCCGGGCUCAACCCGGGAACUGCGUCCGAUACUGGCAGGCUUGAAUCCGGGAGAGGGAUGUGGAAUUCCAGGUGUAGCGGUGAAAUGCGUAGAUAUCUGGAGGAACAUCGGUGGCGAAGGCGGCAUCCUGGACCGGUAUUGACGCUGAGGCGCGAAAGCCAGGGGAGCAAACGGG